AAAAAAAAAAAAAAAGACAGGACAAGAUAUUCAGAUAGUAUCCUCUGAUGGAAAGGAGGUGCGGUAUCUGCAAGGCGACUUUAUGAUCCCCGCAGGAGUCUUUUGAUAGAUAACAAUAGAUAAUAAAGAGUCGCUAUGCGGCAAGUAAAGACUGCCUCCAGCAUGUUUGCUGUUUAAUUAGACUCCGGGGUUUCUCCUCCUAGUGCGCACUCGCUCUUGUUUCCAGACCUUUUCUUUCUUUCUUCCCCCACCCGGCUUUGUUAGAAAGAAAAUGUGGCAUGCCAAGUGUUGCUUUUCUUAGCGCUUCCCCCCCACCCCCGCUCCCCACCAAAAGCAUCUGAAAGCUCGAUUGGAUGAAAACAUUAAACAUGUGACAAGAAAGCGUGACUUUGUUGAUUUCAUUCCUUGGAUCCGGUCGGUUGGGGGGUAGGCAACAGGGAAGAUGUUUUAAGGAGGAGGGCGGAACGGAGGAAGAAAGAAAGACGGUCCAGGGUUAAUCUCCCUUUAAAUGUCUGGCUUCGGAAGAGAAUUCGGUGCACUGAUGUUUGGCGCUUUUGCUUGCCAACGCUUGGGUCUGACUCUGCCCCGAGGCUGGCCUAUAGUGAAGAGUGAAGGUCCUAAACUCGUGCCCUUUUUCAAAGCCACCUGCGUCUACUUUGUCCUCUGGUUGCCAACCUCCAGCCCUUCCUGGUUCAGUGCCCUGAUCAAGUGUUUGCCAAUCUUCUGCUUAUGGGUCUUCCUGUUGGCACAUGGGAUCAAUUUCCUGACAGCCCAUCACAAUGCCUGUAGGAUCUUUGCUGGUUUGAUAUUCUCUGCCUUGGGAGAUGCUUUCCUCAUCUGGCAAGAGCAGGGCUAUUUUAUUCACGGCUUGUUGAUGUUCGGUAUUACACACAUACUGUAUUCCUCAGCAUUUGGAAUUAAACCUUGGGACCUGAAAGUUGGCUUUGGGAUUGGCUUGGUGUCCAGUUUCUUCUACACCUUCCUGUAUUCCUACCUGUCAGGCCCAUUUACCUAUUUGGUAGCUGUCUACAUUGCCUUAAUUGGCUUUAUGGGCUGGCGGGCUAUGGCUGGUGUGCAGCUCUGCAACGACCUGUGGACUUGGACCAAGCUUUCUGCUUGCAUCGGUUCUGUGCUUUUCAUGGUAUCUGACCUGACUAUUGCGGUCAACAAAUUCUGCUUUCCUGUCCCCUACUCAAGGGUCAUCAUCAUGGCCACUUACUACGCGGCUCAAAUGCUCAUUGCACUUUCUGCGGUGGAGAGCAAGGAUGAAGAAGUUUUCAAAAAGAGAAAAUAAGAGACUGAUGCCUACACACCCAUCAGCUCUGUUGGGGAUGCUACAGCUGCAUUCAUCCUGGAGGAUGUUUCAGAAUCUGUGACUGCAAAUCUUGCUUCUUUGAAGCUUCUCUUUAUACUAUUUGGGUGGUCUUGUCUAGUCCUGAUGAUUGGAGUAUGGAACUCACAGUGGAGGUUUAGAUGGUUUUGGAGUAUUUACUUCCUGACCCUUGGAAACCUCUCUUAACACAUUGGUAUAUUUGUAUAAUACAGAAACUGGUGCUGAACAUUCCAGACAAAGCUCAUUUCAGGACAAUAUUACUAUUAAAUAGGGUAGGCAAUACACUGGAAUUUAAGAGCUUUGCCUUCAACAUGGAAUGUGCAAAAAUCACACAAAAAAAGAGUCUCCAUGCUGCCUAAGCCCCUGUUUUGCAUACAUUGCAUUAGAACUGUAAGCCAUUGUGAGUCUACACAGAAAAAUCUUUGGGACCUGAAAAAUAAUCACAGGAUGUAGGAGCACUCAUGUCAAUCACUAUGCGUAAUGUAACUUAUGUUGUCCUUGGGAGAAAUCAGUUUAAAUUCCAGAUUCGUGAAAUUAUGUAUUUAUAGGCCAUGCAUAGCCUUUAUUUUUAUUUUUAUUUUGGUGAAUGUGAAUCCUGCAGAGCAUCUAUUUUUCUGCAGAUUUUAAAAGCAACAACAAAAUGCAAUGAACAUUCUCAGGCUGGUAGAGGUUGGAGGCAGGGAAAAAUGUGGGAAAAAAGAGGUUUAACCAUAAAACAAGUCAUGCUGUUUAGUGAAUCGGCGCUUCCAAGCGAAAAUGUUCAAUAUUAUUAGUACUGAAACACUAAGAAGGACAUUUGGGCAUUUUUAAGAUACCAGCUGCUUUGUAGACAUAAUCGAUUGGUCAAAAAAAUCACCUUCUUGUACAAGAUUCUUAGCCUCUUUUCCUCUCCACAAUCAGUGCCAGAGUGUCUUGGAAGAGAAUGCACACGCAAGCAUCUGAGCGUGAUGUCAUGAAGAACGACUGUGAAAUGGAUUUCUAAGAUACAUUCUUGUUAAUGUGAAAAAGAAGAGGAGGAGGGAGAAGAAGAAGAGAAGAAGGAAAGAUGUGAGUGAAUAUGGAUAUAGAUGAGCCAAACAUGGAUAUACAUUUUCUAGCGGAAGCAUUUUACAUUGUGUUCAUCUAUAGGUGAUCUUGUAAUAUGCCCUUCCAUAGUCUUUUCCAUAUGUGCUCUCUUAAGUCUAACACUGUGUUUAGUUAAGCUGUUACUCUAUUUAUUUUGAUCUAUAGAAUUCCAGAAUUUUAAGAGAAACUAAUGGGUGUAACAGUAAAUGCAUUCCAGGAUUGGUAGGGACCUAAAGUCUCAUUUGCCACUGAAGCCUUGAUAAAUGGUUAACUGGUUUCAACAUUUACACUUAAUAAUAAUAAUAAUAAUAAUAAUAAUAAUAAUAAUAAUAAUAAUAAUAAUAAUAAUAAUAAUAAUAAUAAUAAUAAUAAUAUAAAUAGAAAAAGAACUAUUGUGGCAAAAGAAAGCAACGAUAAUAGUGUCGAGUGCCUUGGAUGCAAUCCCAAAGAAAAAUCUGGAGCACCACCAGUUAAUUGCAAAAGGCAGCUUUACUUGAAGUUGCUCACAUCCUGUGACAAUACUUUUAAUACGAUUAAACAACAAUAUCUGCAUAGCCCAGGGUUUUGGGAAGGACUCAAUAGAAGGACAAAAAUGCCAUACCCAGUCUAAAUAUCUGAAUGACUGUGACCAACCAUGAUAAUAGUAAGCACCUCUUUUGGAGAUAAGUCUUUUAUAUUGUCAAACACCCCAUGCUAUCAGAAUGUUCUUCCUAAUACUGAGUUAAAGUCACCAUCCCCUGUAAUUUAAGCAUAGUAUUUUGCCCCUGAACAACAGAGAACAUGUUUGUUGCAUCAACCCUAUGACAAUCUUUUGAAUGUUUAAAGAUAGCUAUCAUGUUCACUCUUCAAUCUCUCUUUGCCAGGUUUGGCUACCAGCCUUUAACUAUCUUUGUCAUCCUUCUCUGGACAUGAUCCAGUUUGUUGAUUGCUAUCAUACAACCCAGACUUAAUUAGUAGUGUUCAAGACAUGGAUUGGUUUCAGAACUGCAUUGAAGUUGCAGAGUAAAAAGAAGGUACUUCUGUUUAAAUAAAGGUUAAAAUAUUUAGGGUUUUUUUAAAAAAAACAAAACAAAACGAGGUGAAUUAAAAUUUCUCAGCUUAAUCUCAUGCAGUUGAGAACUUUUCAGUUCAUCUACCGGUGUAGUAAACAACAAAAACAUUUUUGGUUGUCCCUAGCUUCCUUACCCAGAUGUUAUUUUUUCCAAGCCAUCAUUGCCAGGCAAAUUUUUUAGAGUUUUUGGAGUUGCUAGAGACCUUAACUGAUUUUAGUAAGUACCAUUUUUUUUAGAGAAAGCUACUUCCUCAAUGACCAUAUGAGAUUUUUUAAAAAUUUCAAUCUACAACACUUUUUCUUCUGAAAAUAUUUAUGUAAUACAGUGCUUGUAAUACAUUUUAAAUGCUUUAUACUUUACCAGCAGUAUUUCCCAAGACAUAUCCUAUAAAAUAUGGUAUGUAUGUGUAAAUAUGAGUGAGAGGGAUUUUUUUUUUAACAUUGGACAUGUUGACUUAACAUGUUCUCUAAGAUUGUUCUGCUGUUCUUCAAAGAUGCAUCAUAAAGGAAUUGUUGGCUCAAAAUGGAAAUUAUAGGUAGUUGUUAGGGUCUUCUGCUUUAAAGUAUAAUAUAUAAAAUUCAACUGUGAUACCGAAAAGUUGUCCUUGGGAAAAUCUGCCAGAAAUCUGAACAGGCAUAAUAGCAGUAGCAAUAGCACUUAAACUUAUAUACCGCUUUACAGCCCUCUCUAAGCAGUUUACAGUCAGUAUCUUGCCUCCAACAAUCUGGGUCCUCAUUUUACCAACCUCAGAAGGAUGGAAGCUGAGUUAACCUUGAGCCUGAUGAGAUUCGAUCUGCCAAACUGCUGGCAUAUGUAGUAUGUAAUUUUAUUAUAUUUUUAAAAGAAAUCCCACAUUUUUAUAUUUAAAAACUAUUAAAUAUAUUUAACAAUCAGUUAAGUAAUAGCGUUGGGUUGAGAAAAAAUAGAUUUAUUUUUUCAUGAUAACUUUUAAAUUUUUCUAUUAGUUUGGUUGGCUGCUUUCUAAGAACAGCUACGAGAACUGGGAUGGAAAAAAUCCACAUGUCCACAAGAGGUUAAUCAAACUCUGGAUUUUUAAAUUCCAGUACAGUCCACAAGAAAAAGUUGUGAAGGAUGCCAUUUCCUAGAAAUUAGGGCAGGCUGAUAGGCUUAAAUGAAAGGCCUGAUUUGAAUGUCAGAGCAUGGAUAAUGUAUAAUGUUGUUGGAUAGUAUAGUCAACAUUUCAUUCCUGAUGGAAAUUGUGACUCAUCUGGGUGGAAGUGCAAUAAGAGGAUUUAGCAAACUGUUGUCUCAACUCAUCCACUCGCAGUAUGAACUCUGUUCUGAUCAUCACAGAAAUAUGAAGUUUCUCCAAAUUAUUCCAAUUCUGCAAAAUACGUUUAACAUAAACAAUCCUAUCUUUUUUUUAUUGAAAAAGUUUUACAAAAAAAAAGCUUUCCCCCCCCCCUCGACUUCCCGGAACAAACACAAGGUAUAGUUAAAGAUAAAACAAACAUAGUUGAUGGGCCCUACUCACAUUGGGGGAGGCACACUGGAUCUGAUUUUUAUCUCUGGACAGUGGUUAAAUGAUCUGGAUUUAGGAGAUUUAGUUACCGAGCCAUUGUCAUGGUCAGAUCAUUUUCUCCUUCGUCUAGACUUUCGGACCGCCACUCAACACCGCAGGGAGACGGGACCAACACGUUGGUUCCAUCCCAGUGCCUGAUGGACCCGGAGAGGUUCCUGAAGGAGCUUGGGCCACUUCCUGAGGAUCUGGCCCACGGCACGGCUGAGGAGCUAGUUGCGGCCUGGGAAUGGGCCGCGACUGGCGCUUUAGACCGUGUCGUGCCUUUGCAGCCUCUGACCCGGCGCAGAUCUCAACCAGCUCCUUGGUUUUCCGAGGGUCUGAGGGAGAUGAAACGCCGGAGAAGACGCCUAGAGAGUGCCUGGACAUCCAGCUGUUCCGAGGCUGACCGGACACUAGUUAGGUCCUACAGUAGGACUUACCUAGUGGCACUGAGGGAAGCGAAGCGUUCUUACGUUUCCUCCCUCAUUGCGUCGGCAGAUAACUGCCCGGCCGCCCUGUUUCGGGUGACCCGCUCCCUCCUUCAUCAGGAGGUGUGGGAUGACCCCUUACAGGGCCGUGCCGAGGAGUUUAGUGGUUAUCUAUACGAUAAAAUCGUUCAGCUUCGGAACGGAUUGGAUCAACAUUGGGUAGAUCCAGGUGAGAGGCUGGAGACAUGUCUUGUUGAGACUAUUUGGGAUGGAUUUGACCCUGUGACUCCCGAGGACAUGGACAGGUUGUUGGGGUGGUUGAAUGCCACCACAUGUUUAUUGGACCCGUGCCCCUCCUGGCUGGUGCUGGCCACACAGGAGGUGACAUGAGGCUGGCUCCAGGGGAUUAUCAAUGCUUCUUUGAUGGAGGGGGUUUUCCCCGCCGCAUUGAAAGAGGCGGUGGUGAGGCCCCUCCUCAAGAAGCCCUCCCUGGACCCGGCUGUUUUAGGAAAUUAUCGUCCGGUCUCCAACCUUCGCUUUGUGGCGAAGGUUGUUGAGAGUGUGGUGGCACGUCAAUUACCCCAAUACCUGGAUGAAUCUGUCUAUCUAGACCCGUUCCAGUCUGGCUUCCGGCCCGGGUACAGUACGGAGACGGCUUUGGUCGCGUUGGUUGAUGAUCUCUGGAGGGCCAGGGACAGGGGUUACUCCUCUGCCCUGGUCCUAUUAGACCUCUCAGCGGCUUUUGAUACCAUCGACCAUGGUAUCCUGCUGCACUGGUUAGGGAGUUUGGGAGUGGGAGGCACCAUUUAUCGGUGGUUCUCCUCCUAUCUCUCUGACCGGUCGCAGACGGUGUUGGCAGGGGGCAGAGAUCGACCGCGAGGCCCCUCACAUGUGGGGUGCCGCAGGGGUCGAUUCUCUCACUUCUCCUGUUCAACAUCUAUAUGAAGCCGCUGGGUGAGAUCAUCAAUGGCUUUGGGGUGAGGUACCAACUGUACGCUGACGAUACGCAGCUGUACUUUUCCACCCCAGGCCAUCCCAACGAAGCUAUCGAUGUCUGGAAGCUGUACGGGUCUGGAUGGGGAGAAACAGGCUCAAACUCAAUCCCUCCAAGACGGAGUGGCUGUGGAUGCCGGCACCCCGGUACAGUCAGCUGCAGCCGCGGCUGACUGUUGGGGGCGAAUCACUGGCCCCAGUGGAAAGGGAGCGCAACUUGGGCGUCCUCCUGGAUGGGCGGUUGUCUUUCAAAGAUCAUCUGAUGACCGUCGCCAGGAGGGCUUUUUACCAGGUUCGCCUGCUUCGCCAGUUGCGCCCCUUCCUUGACCGGGAUGCCUUAUGCACGGUCACUCAUGCUCUGGUUACCUCUCGCUUGGAUUUCUGCAAUGCUCUCUACAUGGGGCUCCCCUUGAAGAGCACCCGGAGGCUCCAGUUGGUUCAGAAUGCAGCUGCGUGGGUGAUAGUGGGAGCCACACGUGGCUCCCAUGUAACACCACUCCUGUGCAGUCUGCACUGGCUACCUGUGGUCUUUCGGGUGCACUUCAAGGUUUUGGUGACUACCUUUAAAGCGCUUCAUGGCUUAGGGCCAGGGUACUUACGGGACUGCCUGCUGUUACCGAAUGCCUCCCACCAACCUGUACGCUCGCACAGAGAGGGACUCCUUAGGGUGCCGUCCACCAAGCAAUGUCGGCUGGCGGCCCCCAGGGGGAGGGCCUUCUCUGUGGGGGGCUCCUACCCUUUGGAACGAACUUCCCCCUGGACUUCAUCAACUGCCGGACCUUCGGACUUUCCGCCGCGAGCUGAAGACCUAUUUGUUUGUUCGCGCAGGACUGGCAUAGGAUUUUAAUUAGUUUUAAUGUUUUAAUAUUUUAUAAUUUAUGGGGUUUUAUUUUAAUGUUUUAAUUCGGCCAUUUGUGUAAUAAGUUUUUUAACUCAUGGUUUUAUGUGUAUAUUGCUGUCGUUUUUAUCUUGGCUGUAAACUGCCCUGAGUCCCUCGGGAGAAGGGCGGUAUAAAAAUUUAAUAAAUAAUAAUAAUAAUAAUAAUAUGCUAAAAAAAUUUCCCUCCUAACUCAGUUAUACUCCUACAGUUCUCAUCAAUUCCUAACCUCCCCCAAAACAAUCAGAAAUAAUACAUCCUAAUCAUUCAAAGGCAGUCUGAUAACUCUUAGUCUGAUAUCUGUUUUGGAUAUAGUCAAUCCAUUUUUUCCAUUCAUUUAAGUAUCUUUCUUGCGUAUUGUCUUUCAAAAAGGCUGAGAUUUUUGCCAUCUCAGCCAAAUUAGCAACCUUCAAUAUCCAUUCUUCUAUUGUAGGUACUUCUUUUUUCUUCCAAUACUGUCCUAUCAGUAAUCUUGCCACUGUUAUUAGAUUUAAAAUCAGUUUAGUCUCAAUUACUUUACAGUCCGUGAUAAUUUCCAGAGACAAUCCUAUCUUUUGGUUGAUGUUUCUUCUGGGGAUGAAAACCUGAAGGAAUGGAAUGGGACUAUUUCAGAAAGGGGGAUGUGGAAUGUUUUUUCACAGUUAACUCAUAUUUUCUAUGCUCUAGGACUCAGAAAGCAGGUAAUGAUUACACAGGUAGUCCUCAACUUAUGAUCACAAUGGAGCCCAAGGUUUAUGUUGCUAAGCGAGAGAUUUGUUAAGUGAGAUUUGCCCUAUUUUAUGACCUUUCUUGCCACAGUUGUGAAGUGUAUCAUUGCAGUUAGUGACAUGAUUGUUAAAUUAAUCUGGCUUGCCCAUUUGGAUUUUGCUUGUCAGAAGGUCACCAAAAGUGAUCACAUGAUCCCAGGGACUCUGCAACUGUCAUAAAUAUGAAACAAUUGCCAAGAAACGUGACCAUGGGUAUGCUACAACGGUCAUAAGUGCGAAAAAUGGUCAUAAGUCACUUUAUUCAGUGCUGUUGUAACUUUGAACGGUCACUAAAGGAACUGUUGUAAGUUGAAGACUACCUGAAUAGUUCCUGAGUUCCUUUCCAAGUUAUUGGAAAGAUGCUUCUCUUCUUGGAAUAUAUGCACAGGUCUGAGAAAGAAAGUGACUGAAUGAGAGAAAAAGGGCUAUCAAUCUAAUAUAGGAAAAAUUCACUGCAUUCAUAUAAAUGUCUUUUAUUUUGCUACUGAAUCAACCAAUUUUCUGGGCUCUAUUACAUUAAAUCAUAAAGAGGGUGGGUUCUCACGACAUAUUAGUCCACAAAAAGCCUGACUUAAAAUUCAUGCUAAGAUUAGUGUUUUAUGCAAAUGAACUAUGAAUUCUUUGCCACAUCUUGCUAAGUAUCUUCUGUAGCCACCAGCAUCCCUCUUUCUUUCUCAUUAAGUUAUCAUAACUAUCUUAAAAUGUGCCUGCUCAGUGAGAAAUAGACUUGCUUCUGGAUACAUGGCGAUCUAAAAGGGGAUCUUUUAAAGUUUUGAAAGAUUUAAGAAAAGUGAAUAAAAUCAAUGAGAGGAGCACAUCUGAUGGUAGAUAAAGAAAUCGUAUGUUUAAAAGAUUUUUUUGGGGGGGGGGGAACCUCCAUUAUUUCUUCUGAACCAAAAGGAAAAAAAAAAGCAGAUCACAAACACAUUACUAUGAUAAACCCCGACAAGGGAGAGAAAAACCUGGAGUUUUAAAUAUCAGAUACAAGGUUCCAGGACAUAUGAUCUUUCAGUUUGGAAUGUGCAAAUCCUUCCCUCCUUGCAGGAACACUUUAGAUCAGUUUGUGGAAAAUGCAAUAUACAUCAUUGAAUCCAGUUCCUUCAAAGAGGCUGGUUCAUUGCAAAAGAGAAGAUAGCAAUGUUGAUAAGUUGUAGUGGCAUUUGCAGCACAGAUUAAAAUAAUUCUUGUCAAACUGGCUUUAAUAAAGAGUUCCUGGACUGCAGUUGUAUGGAUCCUUUAUCACUUCGUCAAGCUUCAUCACUUGAGACUUUCAAGAAAAGAUUGGACUGCCGUUUGUCAGAAAUGGUGUAGGGUCUCCUGCUUGAGCAGGGGGUUGGACUAGAUGACCUAUAAGGUCCCUUCAAGCUCUGUUAAUCAGUUAAAUCCUAAAGGUCCACAGGAUGUGUUAGAUUUGUCCUUCCAAAAGACCUGAACUGAGAAAGGAAAUUCUCACAUCUCUUUUCUAUUCUCCUAUCCCUUCUUUCAGCUUUCUUCAUGGCAUCAGAGGUCAGAGAUUAGACAGGAAAGAUUGAGACAGAUCAGGUUGCUUGUAGGAGCAGAUGAGUGAACACAACCCAUUCAGGGGAACCAUACCCUUUCCAUCUUGCAACAUGCCUCAACAAAGAGUACCGUAUAUACUCGAAUAUAAGCCGAUCCGAGUAUAAGCCGAGGUCCCCAAUUUUACCCCAAAAACUGGGGUAAACUGGGGACUCGAGUAUAAGCCGAGGGUGGGAAAUGAGGCACCUACCGGUUGGGGAAACCCUCCCUCCCUCAGCUGAGAAGGCUGGCGGCUCCCCCGCCCCGCCCUCUCACUGCACCGGCAGGGCUUCCGUCCGGUAAAAUGUGAAAAAAAGAAAAAAAAAACUCGAGUAUAAGCCGUAUAUACUCGAGUAUAAGCCGAGGGGCUUAAAAAAAAAAAAACUCGAGUAUAAGCCGUAUAGACCCGAGUAUAAGCCGAGGGGACGUUUUUCAGCACAAAAAACGUGCUGAAAAACUCGGCUUAUACUCGAGUAUAUAUGGUAAUAAGUAAACCAACUCUGGAAAUCACCAAAAUGUUUUUCCUCCUUUUGUUUGCAUUCUUUUCAAAAGGAAGAAGUUCUUCAUCUCUUUUUGCACAUCUGUUCUCCCUGGAUGGGACCAUUAAGGUGCAGGGACUGUCAGAGCCUCUAAUGUCAGAGACUGCCAAACUUUGCCACACUUCCGGAGUUUUCUUUUCUUUUUCUUUUCUUUUCAUUUAGAGGAGCUGGUCUCCCUGCAAUAACAUCUUUGCCUUUCUGAAUGCUUGCCUAUCUACCUCGCAGGGGUAAUAUAUGAAAUGUGUGGUGGCUUUUCUUCAAAAAUGGAAGUCAUGUGUGUGUAAGCACAUGCAUUUUCAUAUAUAAAGCAUUCAGUUCAUGUUCUGGAGUUUGCAUAACUGUUUUAAAGAAUGCCAUGUGUUUUCAAGCAACAUUUUAGAAAAAAAUGUGAAUGCAGUGGCCAGCAUUUUUAAAGUAUUGUUUAUCUGUACUGAAAGUAACAGAGUGAAGGGAAGAAAGACACUUGGGUUUUAAUUUGAGAUCAUUCAAAUAAUUAUCCCAAAUUAUUUGCAAAUGUUGGCAAAUGUUGCUAUAUAAUUCAUGUACCGUAUAUACUCGAGUAUAAGCCGAUCCGAAUAUAAGCCGAGGUACCUAAUUU
Ahaetulla prasina is the source of this 10689-nucleotide RNA transcript. It is a transcript of the gene named transmembrane protein 86A, with no coding region annotated. NCBI's taxonomy places the organism in Eukaryota, Metazoa, Chordata, Lepidosauria, Squamata, Colubridae. The record is from RefSeq and is a predicted model, not a curated record. The transcript is spliced from 4 exons.